UCGAUAUUCACAUGUCAAGCAAACAUGCUGGUUGCAGUUUCAUUACCCAUUUUCUUGGUUCAAAUAGAUCUCUAAAUGAGAGACCAUAAAUUUCAGGAAAAGAAAUUCGAAGCCAGCUUAAGAUCUGUCCUCAUUGAAUAUUCUUUAUUUUUCAGAACUCAGAUUUCUGUUUCUGACGGGGAAAACUGUAAGCAAGAUAGUGGAUCAAUUGUUGGAUUUGGGGAAAAGUAUGCUAAAG
RNAcentral lists this long non-coding RNA (238 nucleotides) under Olea europaea (common olive). Its description in RNAcentral is "long non-coding RNA (OEUR_LNC007975)". Lineage: Eukaryota; Viridiplantae; Streptophyta; Magnoliopsida; Lamiales; Oleaceae. The record is from RNAcentral.